ACAUGCAAGUCGAACGCGAAAGUCCCGCAAGGGAUCAGUAGAGUGGCAAACGGGUGAGUAACGCGUGGGUGACCUGCCUUCGAGCGGGGGAUAACGUUCCGAAAGGGACGCUAAUACCGCAUAACAUCCUGCUUUUUAAGAGGUGGAGAUCAAAGCCGGGGAUCGCAAGACCUGGCACUCGAAGAGGGGCCCGCGUCCGAUUAGCUAGUUGGUGGGGUAAUGGCUCACCAAGGCUCCGAUCGGUAUCCGGCCUGAGAGGGCGGACGGACACACUGGGACUGAGACACGGCCCAGACUCCUACGGGAGGCAGCAGUGGGGAAUUGUUCGCAAUGGGCGCAAGCCUGACGACGCAACGCCGCGUGGAGGAUGAAGAUCUUCGGGUCGUAAACUCCUUUCGAUCGAGACGAACGGCUUCCGGAUGAACAAUCCGGGAGAGUGACGGUACCGAGAGAAGAAGCCCCGGCUAACUCCGUGCCAGCAGCCGCGGUAAUACGGGGGGGGCAAGCGUUGUUCGGAAUUACUGGGCGUAAAGGGCUCGUAGGUGGCCAACUAAGUCAGACGUGAAAUCCCUCGGCUUAACCGGGGAACUGCGUCUGAUACUGGAUGGCUUGAGGUUGGGAGAGGGACGCGGAAUUCCAGGUGUAGCGGUGAAAUGCGUAGAUAUCUGGAGGAACACCGGUGGCGAAGGCGGCGUCCUGGACCAAUUCUGACACUGAGGAGCGAAAGCCAGGGGAGCAAACGGGAUUAGAUACCCCGGUAGUCCUGGCCCUAAACGAUGAAUGCUUGGUGUGGCGGGUAU
RNAcentral lists this ribosomal RNA (800 nucleotides) under uncultured Acidobacteriota bacterium. RNAcentral describes it as "bacterial SSU rRNA". It matches the Rfam family "Bacterial small subunit ribosomal RNA", at positions 53 to 832 of the family's 1533-position model. Lineage: Bacteria; Pseudomonadati; Acidobacteriota. The record is from RNAcentral.